UAUGGAGACUGCCGGUGGACAAACCGGAGGAAGGUGGGGAUGACGUCAAGUCAUCAUGGCCCUUAUGGGCAGGGCUACACACGUACUACAAUGGUCGGUACAAAGGGCUGCCAACCCGCGAGGGGGAGCCAAUCCCAGAAAACCGAUCGUAGUCCGGAUUGGAGUCUGCAACUCGACUCCAUGAAGUCGGAAUCGCUAGUAAUCGUGGAUCAGAAUGUCACGGUGAAUACGUUCCCGGGUCUU
Molecule: ribosomal RNA, 243 nt
Filed under: uncultured Rhodocyclaceae bacterium
Lineage: Bacteria; Pseudomonadati; Pseudomonadota; Betaproteobacteria; Rhodocyclales; Rhodocyclaceae
Description: partial 16S ribosomal RNA
Rfam family: Bacterial small subunit ribosomal RNA
Source: RNAcentral